UACGUAGGGUGCAAGCGUUGUCCGGAAUUAUUGGGCGUAAAGAGCUCGUAGGCGGUCUGUCGCGUCGGCUGUGAAAACCCGGGGCUCAACUCCGGGCCUGCAUUCGAUACGGGCAGACUAGAGUUCGGUAGGGGAGUCUGGAAUUCCUGGUGUAGCGGUGAAAUGCGCAGAUAUCAGGAGGAACACCGGUGGCGAAGGCGGGACUCUGGGCCGAUACUGACGCUGAGGAGCGAAAGCGUGGGGAGCAAACAGG
This 253-nucleotide ribosomal RNA is filed under the name uncultured bacterium. RNAcentral's name for it is "partial 16S ribosomal RNA". It matches the Rfam family "Bacterial small subunit ribosomal RNA", at positions 524 to 776 of the family's 1533-position model. The record is from RNAcentral.